UACGUAGGGGGUGAGCGUUGUCCGGAAUCAUUGGGCGUAAAGAGCUCGUAGGCGGCUUGGCAAGUCGGAUGUGAAAACUCCAGGCUCAACCUGGAGCCGCCAUUCGAUACUGCUAUGGCUAGAGUCCGGUAGGGGAGUGUGGAAUUCCCGGUGUAGCGGUGAAAUGCGCAGAUAUCGGGAGGAACACCGAUGGCGAAGGCAGCACUCUGGGCCGGCACUGACGCUGAGGAGCGAAAGCGUGGGGAGCGAACAGG
RNAcentral lists this ribosomal RNA (254 nucleotides) under uncultured bacterium. RNAcentral describes it as "partial 16S ribosomal RNA". It matches the Rfam family "Bacterial small subunit ribosomal RNA", at positions 524 to 776 of the family's 1533-position model. The record is from RNAcentral.